AAAAGGUAUCAUGUGGUGUAGAGGUUGGGUGAGAACGGGACGUGUUUCAUUAUUAUCAAGCAGGUACAAUAGCCACAAGGCUUAAGAAGUGAAUAAGGAUGAGAAAAAGUGACGUUAGAGUUCAGUCGAGUGUGCAUCUCCGACCCGGCAACAACUGUGGUGUACUAUUUGUCACCAUCAGCGUUCUUCCUAUUCGUAAUCGUAGUCAACAAUGGCGUCGUUCUGCUGUUGGUUAUCGUUGAUGGCUGUGCCGACCACUGGUGUACCGAUGUCUCCUGGGGAUGACGGAUACCAAACCGCAACGCCGCCGUCUUACUACAAAACAACAUCAAAUGCAACGACCAGUUACUUAACCGACGCUCCAAGUACUACACUGAGAAGGCCUAAUGUUACACAGCCACGUAUGCUGCCUCAGUUUACUACACCGAUGGAUCGAAGUAUUACUCUGCUCCAACUUACUACUAAACAGAGGCUUCUGACUACACCAAGAGUCCAAGACCCCCGAGUAUUACACCACAACCUACGCUUCUGCACCUUACUACACACGGAUAUAUCUGUAGUACUCCAUGCGUCACCAACUGCAGUCCUGAUCGUGCAACCGAUUCGCAAUCAUGCUUAAUUUUGCCGUCGUGCUGCUGUUGGGUGUUCUAUCGUUGCUGGCGGGUCGACCACCGGUGUACCGAACUCCUCCGAGGUUGGGUGAGAAAUACACGUGUUGCAGUGUUAUCAAGUGGGUGCAAUAGCCGUAAAGCUUAAGAGCUGGAUUAGGAUGAGAAAGUCGUAUAAAGGGAGAGGGAAAAGGGUAUCGAGAUCAGUCGAGUGAGCAUCUCCGACACGGCAACAACUGCAGCACAAUAUUUGUCAUCAACUGCAUUCUUCCAAUUCUCAAUCAUCGUUAAUUAUGGCGUCGUUCUGCGUCGGUUAUCGUCCAUUGCUGGGUUGAUCACUGUUAUAUCGGUGUUUCAUGGGAUGGCGGAUACCAAACCGCAACGUCGCCGCUUAACUACACAACAUCAUACGCAACAACCAGUUACUACACAGUCGCCCAUAAGUACUACUCCGAUCCAAGUUAUUAUACCGAGGCCUACAAGUACUAAACCACCGAGGCCCACAAGUACUACAGCACCAAGGCACCGGAGUGUUACACCACAACCUACGCUGCUACAGCAUACUGCACCAAGGCUCCCAAGCACUACACCACCAGAGAAAUGGAGUACUACACGACUACGUAUGUUCCCCAAGCUUACUACACCGAGGCUCACAAGUACCACUCUGCUACAGCGUACUACACCGGGACCCCCAAAUAUUACUCUGCACCCAACUACACAUCCACAACUGAGACAGUACAUAUUUACUACACAGCGGCCGCUUCAUCCCACUACGGUGAUCCGAAUUACUAUUCCGAGGUUCGCAGUUUACUACACCAAAAUCUACGCUGCCCCCAGCUACUACACUGAAGCUCCUGUUUACUACAAUACCGAGGCAUCUGAGUAUUAUAUCACUACUUACGCUUCUACCCCAGCUACUAUACCGAAGCUCCGAAGUAUUUCUCUGCUCCGAGUUACUACACCGCUAAGGCAUCUGAAUAUUACAUCACAACUUAUGCCUCUCCAGCUUACUUCAAGAAUACUUAAACCUAUCCUAAAUUUUUGUUAGUAGUGAUUCAAAUCAGAAUACAUUUUUUAAUGAGUAA
Daphnia pulicaria is the source of this 1693-nucleotide long non-coding RNA. RefSeq lists it as uncharacterized. The transcript is spliced from 5 exons. NCBI's taxonomy places the organism in Eukaryota, Metazoa, Arthropoda, Branchiopoda, Diplostraca, Daphniidae. The record is from RefSeq and is a predicted model, not a curated record.